RNAcentral lists this unclassified non-coding RNA (253 nucleotides) under Hevea brasiliensis (rubber tree). The record is from RNAcentral. Lineage: Eukaryota; Viridiplantae; Streptophyta; Magnoliopsida; Malpighiales; Euphorbiaceae.
AUGGGAACAAGUUCUUGCUUCCUUUGUUUCCACAACUAAAAGCAUAAGAUUUGCAAUCAAUAUACUUCCAACAAAUGCCGACAUCAUGCCACUUCUUUAACCAAAGUCCAUUGGAGUGAUAAGCGAGCCGUGCGAUCAGUUCAAAGUUUAGAGCUGAUUCUCAGUAUGAAAAUAAAGAGGACCCUUCAAAGUAGCUGAAUUGAAUAGCUAAAAGGCUUUAAUUCGAGAAUAAUGCAUUUUGCAGCAAAGAUUG